This 485-nucleotide ribosomal RNA is filed under the name uncultured bacterium. RNAcentral's name for it is "bacterial SSU rRNA". It matches the Rfam family "Bacterial small subunit ribosomal RNA", at positions 1 to 483 of the family's 1533-position model. The record is from RNAcentral.
AGGGGGUUUGAUCCUGGCUCAGGACGAACACUGGCGGCGUGCUUAACACAUGCAAGUCUACGAGAAAGUGUCUUUCGGGAUGCGAGUAAAGUGGCGCACGGGUGAGUAACACGUAAGCAAUCUACCCUUAGGCCUGGGAUAACCCCGAGAAAUCGGGGCUAAUACCGGAUGAUGCAGCGGCACCGCAUGGUGAUGUUGUUAAAGUCUAUAUGGCGUCUAGGGAUGAGCUUGCGUCUGAUUAGCUUGUUGGUGAGGUAACGGCUCACCAAGGCUGCGAUCAGUAGCUGGUCUGAGAGGAUGAUCAGCCACACUGGAACUGAGACACGGUCCAGACUCCUACGGGAGGCAGCAGUGAGGAAUAUUGGGCAAUGGGCGAAAGCCUGACCCAGCAACGCCGCGUGGGAGGAUGAAUGUCGUAAGAUUGUAAACUCCUGUUUAGAGGGGAAGAAUAAUUCCGAUCGAAUCGGAACUUGACUGUACCCUCA